Molecule: long non-coding RNA, 253 nt
Filed under: Jatropha curcas
Lineage: Eukaryota; Viridiplantae; Streptophyta; Magnoliopsida; Malpighiales; Euphorbiaceae
Description: long non-coding RNA (JCUR_LNC000025)
Source: RNAcentral
GAAAUUUGAGCAAUUAUUUUUAUGGAGGAAAUUUGAGGAAUUAUUUUUAUGGAAUAAAUUAGAGAGUUUUGUGGAGAUAAAUAAUAUUUUGAAGGAAUUUAAUUGGAGAAUAUUUGGAGAAAAGACCAAAACACCCUCCAAUUUGGAGAAAAGACCAAAAUACCCCUUAGUUGCUUUAUUAAAAGCAACUAUCAAUUAUUGAGCAACACUUUGUCCUUCUUCUCCUUUUCCUACACGUCUCCUUCUUCUUCUU